This is a long non-coding RNA of Harpia harpyja (harpy eagle), 820 nucleotides long. RefSeq lists it as uncharacterized. The transcript is spliced from 3 exons. Lineage: Eukaryota; Metazoa; Chordata; Aves; Accipitriformes; Accipitridae. The record is from RefSeq and is a predicted model, not a curated record.
CCUUACAGGCAACCCUCUCCCCGGAACAAAUAAUGGCCUUUCUAUCAUAGAGCAUUAUCAAUGCCAAAGCCUUGGUAUGAAUAACUGAGAAAUCUCUCUCACUCUUUGUUUCAACAAUAAAUAGAACCUUCUCCUAGAUGAAUACGGUGUGUUAUUCACAUGAUUAACAUGAAGUCAGCUGAUUUCUCUUUUUCUUUGGAGCGUUGCCCGGAAUCUUGCACUGGCAUGGUUAUCAGAGACUUGCCCUGUAAACUGCGCGAGGAUAUUUUGAAUAACUCGACAGUUGUUGCUCUCGUUUAAGUAUCUCAGUGGUGUUUACAGGUAGAGCAGCUUCAGCAGAAGGGUUUGAGAGUUACCCUUCCCUGUGGCAGAGCAGCCUGGAGACCACACUGCAGGACUGCGGAAACAUGGACCUGAAGCUCCUGAUAAAGAAGGUGGUGUGACUGUGUCUAUGAUACCACAUUCACUGUCUGCAGUUACAAGAAUAACAGCACAGCUACUGGAAUGAAAAGUCGUGAUGCAGGUAUGAAUCUCUUUAAGGAGAUCCUGCCUAGAGUAAGGAAGAUUUUUUCAACUGCUACAGCGUCUAAUGACCACGCAUUGCUUAACCUCAUGCUGAAAGAAGAUGUGAUAUCCAAGGAGUAGCAUCAAGCCUUGCUCCGUGAAAAAGACGGAGAGGACCUCGCAAGGAAGAUACCUCUGACAUUUGUGGAAAAAUGGGACCUAUACCUGAACACAUUGAUUCCCCUCUGUUCUUUAAACCUCUGUGGCAGUAAGCCUCAAAACAUGACAGAUAAUGAGUCAUCAGGAAGCAAGUACA